RNAcentral lists this microRNA (21 nucleotides) under Heligmosomoides polygyrus. RNAcentral's name for it is "hpo-miR-10075a-5p". The record is from miRBase by way of RNAcentral. Lineage: Eukaryota; Metazoa; Nematoda; Chromadorea; Rhabditida; Heligmosomidae.
UCGGAGUAUUUCAAGCAUGGC